Molecule: transfer RNA, 71 nt
Filed under: Ipomoea nil (Japanese morning glory)
Lineage: Eukaryota; Viridiplantae; Streptophyta; Magnoliopsida; Solanales; Convolvulaceae
Rfam family: tRNA
About the family: Transfer RNA (tRNA) molecules are approximately 80 nucleotides in length. Their secondary structure includes four short double-helical elements and three loops (D, anti-codon, and T loops).
Source: Rfam by way of RNAcentral
GUCGUUGUAGUAUAGUGUGAGUAUCCCCGCCUGUCACGCGGGAGACCCGGGUUCGAUCCCCGGCAACGGCU